GAUGAACGCUGGCGGCGUGCCUAAUACAUGCAAGUCGAGCGAACAGACGAGGAGCUUGCUCCUCUGACGUUAGCGGCGGACGGGUGAGUAACACGUGGAUAACCUACCUAUAAGACUGGGAUAACUUCGGGAAACCGGAGCUAAUACCGGAUAAUAUAUUGAACCGCAUGGUUCAAUAGUGAAAGACGGUUUUGCUGUCACUUAUAGAUGGAUCCGCGCUGCAUUAGCUAGUUGGUAAGGUCACGGCUUACCAAGGCAACGAUGCGUAGCCGACCUGAGAGGGUGAUCGGCCACACUGGAACUGAGACACGGUCCAGACGCCUACGGGAGGCAGCAGUAGGGAAUCUUCCGCAAUGGGCGAAAGCCUGACGGAGCAACGCCGCGUGAGUGAUGAAGGUCUUCGGAUCGUAAAACUCUGUUAUUAGGGAAGAACAAAUGUGUAAGUAGCUAUGCACGGCUUGACGGUACCUAAUCAGAAAGCCACGGCUAACUACGUG
RNAcentral lists this ribosomal RNA (497 nucleotides) under uncultured bacterium. RNAcentral's name for it is "partial 16S ribosomal RNA". It matches the Rfam family "Bacterial small subunit ribosomal RNA", at positions 28 to 507 of the family's 1533-position model. The record is from RNAcentral.